This 83-nucleotide small RNA is filed under the name Olea europaea subsp. europaea. RNAcentral describes it as "Antisense RNA which regulates isiA expression". It matches the Rfam family "Antisense RNA which regulates isiA expression", at positions 1 to 86 of the family's 187-position model. The record is from Rfam by way of RNAcentral. Lineage: Eukaryota; Viridiplantae; Streptophyta; Magnoliopsida; Lamiales; Oleaceae.
AAUAACCAAAUAUAAUACUCGGGCUAAGGGUCAAGUUGGUAAUUCUUACAUCUCCUCCUCCUGGAGCCCAAGUAUCAUAGUAA